RNAcentral lists this ribosomal RNA (253 nucleotides) under uncultured bacterium. Its description in RNAcentral is "partial 16S ribosomal RNA". It matches the Rfam family "Bacterial small subunit ribosomal RNA", at positions 524 to 776 of the family's 1533-position model. The record is from RNAcentral.
AACGUAGGGGACAAGCGUUAUCCGGAUUUACUGGGCGUAAAGCGCAUGUAGGUGGCUUGAAAAGUUGGACGUGAAAGCUCCCGGCUUAACUGGGAGAGGUCGUUCAAAACUGGCAAGCUUGAGGUUGGAAGAGGAGAGCGGAAUUCCCGGUGUAGUGGUGGAAUGCAUAGAUAUCGGGAGGAACACCAGUGGCGAAAGCGGCUCUCUGGUUCAAUACUGACACUGAGAUGCGAAAGCGUGGGGAGCGAACGGG